GUAGGGGGCAAGCGUUGUCCGGAUUUACUGGGUGUAAAGGGUGCUCAGGUGGAUUUGUAAGUCAGAGGUGAAACUCCGGAGCUUAACUCCGGAAGCUGCCUUUGAUACUGCAAGUCUCGAGUUUGAGAGAGGGCAAUGGAAUAUCUGGUGUAGCAGUGAAAUGCGUAGAUAUCAGAUAGAACACCAAGUGGCGAAGGCAGUUGCCUGGCUCAAUACUGACACUAAAGCACGAAAGUGUGGGGAGCAAACAGGAUUAGAUACCCUGGUAGUCCACACCCUAAACGAUGAGUACUAGACGUUGGUCCUUUUAAGGAUCAGUGUCUGAGCUAACGCAUUAAGUACUCCACCUGGGAAGUACGAUCGCAAGGUUG
Molecule: ribosomal RNA, 371 nt
Filed under: uncultured bacterium
Lineage: Bacteria
Description: bacterial SSU rRNA
Rfam family: Bacterial small subunit ribosomal RNA
Source: RNAcentral